Molecule: long non-coding RNA, 354 nt
Organism: Rhipicephalus sanguineus (brown dog tick)
Lineage: Eukaryota; Metazoa; Arthropoda; Arachnida; Ixodida; Ixodidae
Exons: 3
Source: RefSeq, a predicted model, not a curated record
UCUCAUAACUACGCCAGAAUGUGCUCAAAAUAGAUUGCGCUGUUAACGCAGCAUUGUGAUCGGAAUAACUAGCAUUAUAAUGUCGGCUGUGAAGACUGCAUUCGUUCUCAUGCUCGUCCUAACAGCCAUGAUAAGGAUAACCUCUAGUGCGGGAGGAUUCUUCGCACCGAUGUGUCUGUACAAGCCUUGCCGUGGACCGUUCGACCAGCCUUCAUGCCGACCAAGAUGCCGAUGCGCCCGGGUGAACCACGGCAUAUUCUCGUGCAUCCUAUAGGCUUAUGUUGACAUUAGGGUAACAACAACCUACUACAUCAAGGUGCAGGCUGAAAGGGUUGGAAAAUGAAUAAAGAUCAC